AACGAACGCUGGCGGCAUGCCUAACACAUGCAAGUCGAACGAGAACUCCGGGUCUUUUGGCGCACGGCUGCGUAAGGCGUGGGGAGCUGCACUUAGGUUCGGCAUACCUCCCCGAAAGGGGUGCUAAUACCAGAUCGUGUCUUAUCCCCAAAGAUUUAUUGCCUUUGGUUGGGCCCUCGUUGGAUUCGGUGGUUGGGAGGGUAAUAGCCUCGCACGGGGCGGAUGCAUAGCUGGUCUGAGAGGAUGAUCAGCCACACUUGGAGUGGGACACGGCCUAGAAUCUUACGCAAUGGAGGAGUGGAUAAUAUAGGAAAACGGAGGAAAGCCUGAUGCAGCAAUGCCGGGUGAGUGAUGAAGGCCGUAGGGAUGUAAAGUUCUUUUACCCGGGAUGAUAAUGACGGUACCGGGUGAAAAAGCCCCGGCUAACUACGUG
This 433-nucleotide ribosomal RNA is filed under the name uncultured bacterium. Its description in RNAcentral is "partial 16S ribosomal RNA". It matches the Rfam family "Bacterial small subunit ribosomal RNA", at positions 29 to 507 of the family's 1533-position model. The record is from RNAcentral.